CGAAGAGCCGCUGGACUGUUGUAAGAGUGCAUAGCGUAUCUAAAUAUUGAUAAUAUCAAGAUUUCAUUGCGCCGCACCUUGAGUUCAAAGUGUGUGGUGCGAUGAAUAUUUACAAUCGAAGAAAUAUUUCCGUAAAACAGCUGGUGUAUGGAAAUUGGAAAGGAAAAGAGGGCGAUGGUACAAUUACGAGGGCAGCAUUUGCUUCUUUGUUGAUGGUUUCGUGUGACACACAGUACGGUACAGUGGGUGCUAAAAUUCCAUGAGAUAUCAGCCAGAAGGAAAACGUAUCAAAUCAAUUUUGAUGACGGGAAAUUUCUGAUUAUGUAUUUGGAUAGAAAAUAUGGCUAUGAAUAGUUCAACACACUAACCCUACUGCACCACCUAGAUCACCAAGCAUGAGACAUGCCAUACCCAAAAUCAAGACUGCCACAUUCUUUGUUAUCUAUUUAAAGUGAAUCUGAUUUUAAGUAGUGCUGCCCUCUAAAUUGUUCCUCGAGCCCAGGUGACCGACAUCAGAGUUGAGGGGAAACGUAUCAGAGCAAGUCUGAAGACAGAACUUAUAUUUCUAUUUAUCUGAAUAGCAGUCAGGCUUUCAAUAGAACAACAGUGACCCCACCACGCAACUGUUCUCUAUUCUACAAGAAAGAAACACACAUACCGAGCAGCAGUAAGGAUUAAUCAUUAUUAUAUCUGAUUAACAGGACAUUAUUUUGAUUUGCUACUGCUUGCUUAUGGGUUCCUUGAGCCCAGGUGACCGACAUCAGAGUUGAGGGGAAACGUAUCAGAGCAAGUCUGAAGACAGAACUUAUAUUUCUAUUUAUCUGAAUAGCA
Molecule: long non-coding RNA, 831 nt
Organism: Frankliniella occidentalis (western flower thrips)
Lineage: Eukaryota; Metazoa; Arthropoda; Insecta; Thysanoptera; Thripidae
Exons: 7
Source: RefSeq, a predicted model, not a curated record